GUCGAGCGGAUGAGAAGAGCUUGCUCUUCGAUUCAGCGGCGGACGGGUGAGUAAUGCCUAGGAAUCUGCCUGGUAGUGGGGGACAACGUUUCGAAAGGAACGCUAAUACCGCAUACGUCCUACGGGAGAAAGCAGGGGACCUUCGGGCCUUGCGCUAUCAGAUGAGCCUAGGUCGGAUUAGCUAGUUGGUGAGGUAAUGGCUCACCAAGGCGACGAUCCGUAACUGGUCUGAGAGGAUGAUCAGUCACACUGGAACUGAGACACGGUCCAGACUCCUACGGGAGGCAGCAGUGGGGAAUAUUGGACAAUGGGCGAAAGCCUGAUCCAGCCAUGCCGCGUGUGUGAAGAAGGUCUUCGGAUUGUAAAGCACUUUAAGUUGGGAGGAAGGGCAUUAACCUAAUACGUUAGUGUUUUGACGUUACCGACAGAAUAAGCACCGGCUAACUCUGUGCCAGCAGCCGCGGUAAUACAGAGGGUGCAAGCGUUAAUCGGAAUUACUGGGCGUAAAGCGCGCGUAGGUGGUUUGUUAAGUUGGAUGUGAAAGCCCCGGGCUCAACUUGGGAACUGCAUCCAAAACUGGCAAGCUAGAGUACGGUAGAGGGUGGU
This 606-nucleotide ribosomal RNA is filed under the name uncultured Pseudomonadales bacterium. RNAcentral describes it as "bacterial SSU rRNA". It matches the Rfam family "Bacterial small subunit ribosomal RNA", at positions 61 to 662 of the family's 1533-position model. Lineage: Bacteria; Pseudomonadati; Pseudomonadota; Gammaproteobacteria; Pseudomonadales. The record is from RNAcentral.